RNAcentral lists this ribosomal RNA (554 nucleotides) under uncultured prokaryote. RNAcentral describes it as "bacterial SSU rRNA". It matches the Rfam family "Bacterial small subunit ribosomal RNA", at positions 44 to 585 of the family's 1533-position model. The record is from RNAcentral.
GGGCUAUCUGCAGUCGAGCGACAGAAAAGGAGCUUGCUCCUUUGACGUUAGCGGCGGACGGGUGAGUAACACGUGGGCAACCUACCUUAUAGUUUGGGAUAACUCCGGGAAACCGGGGCUAAUACCGAAUAAUCUAUUUCACUUCAUGGUGAAAUACUGAAAGACGGUCUCGGCUGUCGCUAUAAGAUGGGCCCGCGGCGCAUUAGCUAGUUGGUGAGGUAACGGCUCACCAAGGCGACGAUGCGUAGCCGACCUGAGAGGGUGAUCGGCCACACUGGGACUGAGACACGGCCCAGACUCCUACGGGAGGCAGCAGUAGGGAAUCUUCCACAAUGGGCGAAAGCCUGAUGGAGCAACGCCGCGUGAGUGAAGAAGGUUUUCGGAUCGUAAAACUCUGUUGUAAGGGAAGAACAAGUACAGUAGUAACUGGUUGUACCUUGACGGUACCUUAUUAGAAAGCCACGGCUAACUACGUGCCAGCAGCCGCGGUAAUACGUAGGUGGCAAGCGUUGUCCGGAAUUAUUGGCCGUAUAGCGCGGGCAGGCGGUCCUUUA